UGGGUAACCUGCCUCAAAGAGGGGAAUAGCCUCCCGAAAGGGAGAUUAAUACCGCAUAAUAUGUUUAAGUCGCAUGACUUUAACAUCAAUGGAUUUUCUUUUAGAAAUUCCACUUUGAGAUGGACCCGCGGCGCAUUAGCUAGUUGGUGAGGUAACGGCUCACCAAGGCAACGAUGCGUAGCCCG
This 185-nucleotide ribosomal RNA is filed under the name uncultured bacterium. Its description in RNAcentral is "partial 16S ribosomal RNA". It matches the Rfam family "Bacterial small subunit ribosomal RNA", at positions 118 to 290 of the family's 1533-position model. The record is from RNAcentral.